AACGAACGCUGGCGGCAUGCCUAAUACAUGCAAGUCGAACGAGAUCUUCGGAUCUAGUGGCGCACGGGUGCGUAACGCGUGGGAAUCUGCCCUUGGGUUCGGAAUAACUUCUGGAAACGGAAGCUAAUACCGGAUGAUGACGUAAGUCCAAAGAUUUAUCGCCCAAGGAUGAGCCCGCGUAGGAUUAGCUAGUUGGUGGGGUAAAGGCCGACCAAGGCGACGAUCCUUAGCUGGUCUGAGAGGAUGAUCAGCCACACUGGGACUGAGACACGGCCCAGACUCCUACGGGAGGCAGCAGUAGCGAAUAUUGGACAAUCGGGGAAACCCUGAUCCAGCAAUGCCGCGUGAGUGAUGAAGGCCUUAGGGUUGUAAAGCUCUUUUACCCGGGAUGAUAAUGACAGUACCGGGAGAAUAAGCUCCGGCUAACUCCGUG
Molecule: ribosomal RNA, 433 nt
Filed under: uncultured bacterium
Lineage: Bacteria
Description: partial 16S ribosomal RNA
Rfam family: Bacterial small subunit ribosomal RNA
Source: RNAcentral